UACGGAGGGUGCAAGCGUUGUCCGGAUUUAUUGGGCGUAAAGCGUCUGUAGGCGUUCCUUUAAGUUAUUCUUCAAAGCCCGAGGCUCAACUUCGGAAAGGGGAAUAAUACUAUUGGAAUUGAAUGGCACAGGGGUUACUGGAACUUACGGUGUAGGAGUGAAAUCCGUUGAUAUCGUAAGGAACACCGAGGGCGAAGGCGGGUAACUGGGUGCACAUUGACGCUGAGAGACGACAGCUAGGGUAGCGAAAGGG
This 253-nucleotide unclassified non-coding RNA is filed under the name uncultured Patescibacteria group bacterium. Its description in RNAcentral is "contains 16S-23S intergenic spacer region". It matches the Rfam family "Bacterial small subunit ribosomal RNA", at positions 524 to 776 of the family's 1533-position model. The record is from RNAcentral.